CAGCAGCCACGGUAAUACAGAGGGUGCAAGCGUUAAUCGGAAUUACUGGGCGUAAAGCGCGCGUAGGUGGUUCGUUAAGUUGGAUGUGAAAUCCCCGGGCUCAACCUGGGAACUGCAUCCAAAACUGGCGAGCUAGAGUAGGGCAGAGGGUGGUGGAAUUUCCUGUGUAGCGGUGAAAUGCGUAGAUAUAGGAAGGAACACCAGUGGCGAAGGCGACCACCUGGGCUCAUACUGACACUGAGGUGCGAAAGCGUGGGGAGCAAACAGGAUUAGAUACCCGCGUAGUCCCUGUCUCUUAUAC
Molecule: ribosomal RNA, 301 nt
Filed under: uncultured bacterium
Lineage: Bacteria
Description: partial 16S ribosomal RNA
Rfam family: Bacterial small subunit ribosomal RNA
Source: RNAcentral